UAUUUAUUUAUUUUUUAUUUAUAAAAGGCCUACAUUAGAUGAAGGUAAACUAAAUAUUUCAUUUUUUAUCAAGUGUUUUUAUUUUGAUUGAUGUAAUUUUUAAAUGAUUUUUUUUAGUUUGACAUUUGUAUGACUUAAUUAUUAGAUUACCAUUAAACUCACCCAGUUUGGGAAAACUUGACACAAUGCAAUGCUUAAUUCACUUUAUGUUGUUCAUAACAACGAAUGGAAUAUAUUUUCUUGGUAUUUUAAUAUCAAUAUGGAACCAUAUUAUCCUGUUUAAAUCAGUGUCCCUUAAAGUAAUCUAAAAGUAGUCUGACAAUGUUACCUAAAAUGUAUAAUUGAAAUGUAACAAUUUGUAAGUAAUGUACCCAGCUCUGAUAGCCCCCAUUGAUGGAUCAUACACAGACAUAACUUAAGAUAAUAUCUAAAUAUUUUAUACUUUAUUAUAGUUAUUCUCAGUGGUGCUGUCAUUGUUAUGCUGUGCUUACAUAAUCGUUUAUAUAUAAUAUCAUCUUAUAAAGAUAUUACAUAAAUUAUCUUCCAGGUAUCACAUCAAUGUAAUAGCUGUGUUUGGCAGCAGGCCUGCAGACAUUAUGUGUGUGAUCGGUCCUUCUGUUGGGCCGUGCUGCUUUACUCUGGAGCAAGACUCGGCCCGAGAGUGUCACGCCAUACACCCAAGACUGUGUUAGACAUAUGGACUCAUCUAGACCUUAUGUCGACAUCAGACUCGCAACCAGUGGAGAAUUGUCAUUUAGAGUCCUGCUGGAGAGAGGUUGAGUUAAACCCAAACACAUGGAGGACAUCAGGAUCCCACAGCAAUCAGAGUCUACUCUCUGCACCUCCUGCCGUCCUGAACUAUUCUUCUCUCAUGUGAGAGAUGGACUCAACUUUGGGACACAAAUUGGCUUUGUGUGGAUCAAAUAAUCCUGCAUUCACUUAUGGAGAAGAAUCUAAAUGGCAGUAGCUACAUAAAUAUAUUAAUAUAAUAAAUAAAUUAGUAUGGAAUGAUCUCACAUUGGACACAUACUGAAAUACACAUUUUCAGCUGGUUAGUUCAUAAAUCUGACUCCACAGGAUGGAAGAAUUAUACAUACAUACAAAAAAAUACACUUGUAAUUAAUAGUAGGAGGUGGAAAUUCCUUAUUUUGACUUUAAAAUUGACCUGAAAGCUUACUGCUGGCCGGUGUCAGCGUUUUCAAGAUUUUGAGGUGAAUGAAUUUUGACAGUUUAAUCUACAUUAAUAUUUAAAUAGUAUUUCCAAAUUGUUCAGUUUGAAAAAAAAAUGAUAGUCCUACAUCCCAGGAAGAUUUCCACAUUACAUUUUGAAUUGCUAAAUGUGAAUUGUUAAAACUGAAUUAUAAUAAUGUUUUGAAAACCUUUUUCAAAGAUGUCAACACACUAUUGGAAGAAAUAAAGAAACCUUGCUAAAAUACAUAAUUCAGGAACUGUCUACGUCGUGAUUUGUGUGCUUGUUUGUUUUUUAAUUAGAUGUUUUUAAUUACACGAUCUUUUUUAACUCUGUUUGAGGGGUUAAAAUACAGUCGACAAUGAAUGUACACAAGGGGGAGCUAAUGCUAAUCUUGUUAGCGUGACCGUUCACAUUAUAAUCACGAACUAUUCAUGUUUGCUAUAACUGCACUAACAGAGUCAUAAAUCAUAUCACAAAGAAAACGGCUGCUUAUUUUGUCAUGUCAAGCCGAAGAUAUCAAGCUUUUUAGUGGGAUCAUCAUAUUUUUGUAUUGUAGCCUAAUACAUUUAAUAAAACCAGCCUAUGUGUAAAACGCGUACAUUUGCUUGUUUAACGUUAUGCAAUAUGAGUAAACGUGUUUAAUAUCUCUAAAUUCUUCACCUCUGUCUCCGUCUGUUUAAAGAGGGCACUAGAGGGCGAGCUUGUUUGUUUCGUGAGAGACGCUGAUUGUUGGCUGCUGUUCAAGCGCCCUUCAGCAGCAUCACAAGGCAAGCUUUUGUCUUCAACAGCACUUUUGCAAUGUCACAAAAACAUCUCGGCAUUUCCUUAUUACGUGCUUUUGAAAUUAACACAACAUUUGCCUAUCAUUAAAGGAAGGCACUAGAUGUCCCAGAGUGACGUGAUGUUUUGAAGAAAGACGCUUAAUUAUUAGCAUUAUACUGUCUACUCAAACAGCAGCGUUUUUCUUUCAAGUCAAGUGAGUGUUUUCACUAGUGACAGAAUGACGGGUAAACCAUACCACAGUCAAUACCUCAAUCUGCUGACCUACUAAAGCAGCACACAUAGUCCUCCUCUGCUAGCAUACUAUAUUAUACUAUAGGCAGUGUUGGGAAGGUUACUCUGGACAUGUAAUAGAUUACCCUAUCUAAAAUGUAAUAUAGUUUAACUAUUUUAAUUAGGGCCUUAUUACCUACAUUUGAUUAUUUGUUAUAACUUUUCUAAAUCUCUAAUGUUGUAAUCACAUCCAAACAUUUAAAGCCUGCGGGGUUAACACGUUAGGGUAGCAAUGAACACGAAUUACUGUCACUUUCGAAAUCCUUCAUCACCUGAAUUGAGAUUAUAAUAAUUACAUUUUAAAGCACUGCCACCACAAAAUCAGACGUACUUUGAGAUCAUUCCGAGGUUAAAUACAGAUUUAAAACCAUAACAAGAAAUAGUUUAGCUAUGAUACUGUUUAAAAAAAAAAAAAUCUUUAUAGUUAUAACAGGAAUCUAAUCAGAAUUAGUUAAUCCUAAAAUAUAAAGCAUAUACAUAAACCCAAAUAGGAAAUAAA
This is a long non-coding RNA of Carassius auratus (goldfish), 2744 nucleotides long. NCBI's taxonomy places the organism in Eukaryota, Metazoa, Chordata, Actinopteri, Cypriniformes, Cyprinidae. The record is from Ensembl.